GGGCCGGUAGUCUAAUGGUAGGACGCUUCCCUUGCAAGGAAGAGAUUCUGGGUUCGAAUCUCUGAGAAAAUCCCAGCCGGUCCA
Molecule: transfer RNA, 84 nt
Filed under: bacterium
Lineage: Bacteria
Also listed under: 1 other name
Description: tRNA-Ala
Rfam family: tRNA
About the family: Transfer RNA (tRNA) molecules are approximately 80 nucleotides in length. Their secondary structure includes four short double-helical elements and three loops (D, anti-codon, and T loops). Further hydrogen bonds mediate the characteristic L-shaped molecular structure. tRNAs have two regions of fundamental functional importance: the anti-codon, which is responsible for specific mRNA codon recognition, and the 3' end, to which the tRNAs corresponding amino acid is attached (by aminoacyl-tRNA synthetases). tRNAs cope with the degeneracy of the genetic code in two manners: having more than one tRNA (with a specific anti-codon) for a particular amino acid; and 'wobble' base-pairing, i.e. permitting non-standard base-pairing at the 3rd anti-codon position.
Source: RNAcentral